GUUACUUGUUGUGCUUUGUACUGAUCUGAUGAUUCAAGCCCUACCAACUGAUGACACUUUGUUCUUAUGUGUGAGUUGUUACACAAGUGGAGGUUAGGGUAAUGUUAACGACUAAUAAGCAUUUUAAACCAGGCUAUGGGUUCAUUCAUUAUUUGCCUGGAACCGAUAGUUUAAUGAUGGUCAAAGGUUGCUGUCAUAUAUGUUUUUAUGCCCCACCUAAGAUAGUAGAGGGGCAUUACAUUUUCUGGUCUGUGCGUCCUAUUCGUCUGUCCGUUCGUCCGGCUUCAGAUUUAAGUUUUUGGUCAAGGUAGUUUUUGAUGAAGUUGAAGUCCAAUCAACUUUAAACUUAGUACACAUGUUCCCUUU
This 366-nucleotide long non-coding RNA is filed under the name Mytilus galloprovincialis (Mediterranean mussel). Lineage: Eukaryota; Metazoa; Mollusca; Bivalvia; Mytilida; Mytilidae. The record is from RNAcentral.